GGAGAGGUGCAAGAGUGGUUGAAUUGGCACGCCUGGAAAGUGUGUAGGCGAGCAAUCGCCUCGAGGGUUCGAAUCCCUCUCUCUCCGCCA
This 90-nucleotide transfer RNA is filed under the name Candidatus Saccharimonadota bacterium. RNAcentral describes it as "tRNA-Ser". It matches the Rfam family "tRNA". Rfam says of the family: Transfer RNA (tRNA) molecules are approximately 80 nucleotides in length. Their secondary structure includes four short double-helical elements and three loops (D, anti-codon, and T loops). Further hydrogen bonds mediate the characteristic L-shaped molecular structure. tRNAs have two regions of fundamental functional importance: the anti-codon, which is responsible for specific mRNA codon recognition, and the 3' end, to which the tRNAs corresponding amino acid is attached (by aminoacyl-tRNA synthetases). tRNAs cope with the degeneracy of the genetic code in two manners: having more than one tRNA (with a specific anti-codon) for a particular amino acid; and 'wobble' base-pairing, i.e. permitting non-standard base-pairing at the 3rd anti-codon position. The record is from RNAcentral. Lineage: Bacteria; Candidatus Saccharimonadota.